Molecule: long non-coding RNA, 464 nt
Filed under: Mustela putorius furo (domestic ferret)
Lineage: Eukaryota; Metazoa; Chordata; Mammalia; Carnivora; Mustelidae
Description: lncRNA (ENSMPUG00000030460.1)
Source: RNAcentral
GCAGAAGAAGCUUGGAGUCUGCAGUCUCACAAUCCCCAGGUGGCCGGAGUUGGCCUCACUCUGCACGGGAGUGGGAGGCAAGGACCCCUCAGAGGGGCUGGCGCCCGUGGGUAGCCUCACCUUCAGUCACAUGGGCUAGAGGCGGUGGGGCUCCUGAGCCCAGGGCAGCUGGAGAGCGCUCCGACCAGCACCUUCUGCUGUUUAAAGAAGGUGGGCCCGGGGAAAGCUGUGCCUGAUUCAUUCAUCCCGGGGACAGGCCUCUCUGACGUGCUCUCUCUGGCAGUCUGAUCCUGAAGAACAAGUGUGUCACCACCUCCUUGAAAGGACAUCAGACAGCAAAUGGGAGAAUCCACAAGGAGGGAAGGAGAGGCCACAUAGAGAGGUGAGUUCUGAAUUGGGCCCGAACAGGGAACAGAGAACUCUCCCUGGUCAGGUGCAGGCCUUAAAGCUGCCUGCAGCCACUC